ACCUCUGAGAAAUGGAAGAAAAUAUGAUCAUAGAUGGGAGGCGUUGACUAGUCUUGCAAGAUUUUAUGAGAAAUCUUUAGUGUUUGGUCCAAAAGACCAGUGUAUUUCCUGGGGGAUCCAUAGCGGGGUACAAAACAACCUUUACAGCACUGGGAUAUUUGUCUCCAGGUCAGAGAUAUGAUACACUGUGCUUUCUGAACAUCCGUUUUCUGUUCUCAUUGGACUAAACCCAAGUCAAACCCUUGACCUAAGACUGCUGCCCAAUCACAUGCUUGCAAGUUAUCCAUGUCAAUCAAGUCUGCGGGGCGGGAGCUCCGCCCACAGACUGAGGACAUUUCCUUUCGGGAGAUAACACCCAUGAUGUUCGGCGUAUGGCAUGCUGAAAACUCAUCGUCCAACAAUUAACUUACUGGGGGUUAGGGAGACUCUCUCUACAUAGUCUAAUCAUCCUGGAACUCACUAUCUAGAUCAAGCUAGCCUCAGACUCACAGAUAUGCACCUGCCUUUGCCUCCCAAGAGCUGGUAUUAAACCGAUGCCCCACCACACUGUGCCUUGUGAUAGCUAAUCUGGGUUGUCAACCUGACUAUAUCGGGAAUCAACUAAAACCCAAGCAGCUGGACACACACGUGUGAGAAGUUGAAAAUUUUCUUGAUUGGAUAGUUUGAGGUGGAAAGGCCUGCCCUGAAUCUAGACCUUUUGAGGCGAGAAGAUUCGGUCUAAAUCUGGGCCACACCUUCUGGUGGCAGCCUAUGUAAAAGGACACAGAAGGAGGAAAUCCUUUGCUUUAUGCCUGCUUGCCUUUACUCAAGUUGGCAAGUUCAUCUAUCCAGCUGCUGAGUUAUCUCUUCACUAGUUUGACAACCCACUUCUCUGGGAUUCAACAUGUAUUAAAGGCCAGCUAAGACAUCCGUCCUCAUGGACUGAACAAUUAUCGGAGUCCUGAAAUCUCUGUCAGGAGACAACCAUUAUUGGACUAGGCAGACCAUAGUCCAUUAGCCACUCAAGUAAAUCCCCUUUUAUAGCUACCUAUUCACACUCUGUGCUGUUCCUCUAGAGAACAUGGACUAACACUGGAGGGGAAAACCCACGUGGACCGAUAACGCUCUGAGUUCUCAAAGCUGACCUGGUAGCAAUUUGAAGUUUAGCAGUUCCACAGGAUCAUCCAAAGCAUGAGAGGCCGACUGCCUGGGGACCCAGCCUUCUCUGUGUGGCAAGAAGGUGCCAUAAAGAAAGAAUGAUAUAAAGAUUUCUAUCACGAGGAGACACUUGAUUGCCUGUUCUCAGCGUUGAAUUCUAUCGUAAGGCAAGUCUCAAUUUUUCUUUUUUUUAAAAGAAAGAUUUUGUAAUCCUGUUUCAAAACAUGUAUCUGCCGAUAUGAAGUGAUAAAAUGUCGUUCCAUGGACUGGCUCUGGCCCCCAAAUUAGGAACACAAUGUGCUUUAAGAAUACUGACAACAGAGGAGCCAAGGAGAAGGUUUCAAACAAACUAAUCAGGGCUUGGAGAGAUGACUCAGUGUUAAAUGUUCUCCGCUCUUCAAGAGAACCUGAGCUCAGAUCUCAGGACGCACGUUUCUGUGAGUUCAGAUCUCAGGACGCAUGUUUCACAAGCACCUAUAACUCCAGCCACAGGGCACCCGAUACCCUCUCCUGGCCUCCCCAUACCUGCUCAGUUGUGAGAUACCUUCGCUCUGACACAAAAACACAUGGGUCAAAAUACAGCUCAGACUCACACAGAGAGAGGAGUAGCCGAGGUUAGGUGGACCGAGCAGGCUGACAAAGAAGCCCUCAGCACCCCAGAAGCUCGGCGUGCUGCUUCUGUGCGGUUGAGCAGGGGGGCUGGGUUAUUUCACACAGCUGAACGAGGAGGCAGGGUUUAUGGUGUACAGCAGGACCAGCGAGACAGGUUUUGUUCAUCUCAGUAGAGACGGUCUCCUUAGGGGAGAAGUCUUUAGGCUAGAAACAGAGGGAGACAGCAGUGGUCAACAUUUUUGGGCAAAUUAUCAACACUCGAAUUCAGACCAGGAGGGACGCCUUUGCCAUGUCCACAAGCCUAACCCAGCGAAGGGCUAUUUUCUGCCAUUUUCCUACGGGUCUGAGGCUCAGUUUCUUGACAAGGCUGUGCCCGUGUCCAAAGCACACAUUCUCUCAGGACUUCACCCAGGGCUGGCUCUCUGUCUACAUUUACCCUUAAAGAACAAUGGCUCUUCUCACCCCCACGGCCUCCAAUUCCAAUGCCUCGUCAGCCAGGGUGGGGACUCGUGAGUUUCUCCUUCAGCAUGGCGGGAUGCUCAGUGGCUGGGUCUCCUGCAGAUCCUAUAUCCACAGUAUCCACAGCUGUUCUGAUGUGAGCCUGGAGGGCAAUGACCACGUCCUGUCUAGGAGACACUAUUCAUAGCACUCUGCCCGGCCUCCAGUUCUUAUAUUCUUCUGCCUACUCUUCCACCAUGUUCCCCGAGCCUGGGUGCAGGGGAGGGGGAGGCUGAUACAACGUCCCAGUUAGGUCUGACCACUCAGGGUCACUUAUGCCCCUCACUCUGACCAGUUGUGAGUCUAUGUAGUAACCACUGCCCACCACAAGCCGACAACUCCCCGACCCAGUCUUGAGAGCACGCCAAUCUACAGUUAUAAAUAUUUAAAAGGCAGCUUGACAACACGAUCAUUUAGAAAACCGGUGAUCACAGGUCCCCUGCAAGCAUUUAUGGCCUUCCUGGCCAUGGGCUUUGGACUAAGUUUACAGAGUCGAGUGGAGCAAGCCCCAUAUGCAGUCGAAGGGCAGCUGGUUGCACCGUAAAAGCAUGCCGCUAAUGCACCACCACUGGGCACUGCAGCAGGCAGGAGACUGCAGAUGUGUUUUGUCCCACUGUAGUCCGAAUAACCCCUUCCAGGAUCAUAGAAGUCGGCCAUCAGGGAAGGCAUUUCCUAGUCAGUUGCAGCUUGGAUUCUCUGUCUCCAAACAAAAGUAUGUAGUGUAUGUAUGUAGUAUUCAGCAGUGGGCUCUUAUCAUCUAGGACAGUUAAGAAUUAUGGUAAUAAUAUGUAUUGUUUCAGGUCCCUUGGGAACCUCUCCAAGCAAUAAUUUUCGGCAGGUGUCCCGUACCUGGCAUUGAGGCUUUUGUUUUAUACUUUGGGCUUUCUGGGAGAAGGGUUACCCAUCCUUCACUCAUUCUUGCCGAGUAACUCCAUGCAAACUGCCCUAUGUAAUACUUUUAUCUUUUUACAUUAUCAGUUUGGGUUAACUACCUGUUGACGUAUGUUGAACUAUCCCUGCAUCUCUGGAGGAAAAAAAAAUCCAAUUUGUUGAUUGUAGCAGUUGCUGGACAUCUUAAAAGCAGCAGUGUCAAACAACCAGAACCCUCAGAACCCCCAGGGACUAAACCACCAACCAACAAAAACAGGGUCCCAUAACUCCAUGUCUUGUUAAGAAUAUCACAUUUGGAUCUGGAAAUGAUGGGCCAGGUAAAACCUGAACUUUGGAGAUUGAGCCAAGGUCAUUGGCCUGUGCGGAGCUAUCCUGGUCUACAGAGUGAGGGCUAUGUACCAAGAAUCCCUUCUCAAGACAACAAAAGAAGAGUACGUACUAUUUGCUCAAUUUAGAAGAUUCGUCGGCUUCUACGGAACCUUAGUUUUCCUCCUAGACCUCUGUUUUCCAGGAGGGAUUUAUGAUGUACCCCAUCAGUCACUCCAAAUCUUGAUUGCUUUCAGCUCCAAAGUGAUUCCAUAGACAUCACCCUCAAAACCCAUGACAGUUACUUUAGAAUGAAAUGCAGCAGGCCUCCUCGUUGUUAAGAUCCCAAUAAAAAUGCAAUUGCGCUGCGCCCUACACCGUGUCAUCUCUUGUGCGCAUGCGCAUCACCCUCCUGCCACACCGCAUGCCCCCUUGCCUUUUUCAAAAUAAAUUCUCUGCUUUCCAGACCAAAAUUCUUUUCUUUGACUUUUUUUCAGAGUGCCUUUUCGAGAGUAAAAACCUACAUUGUUUCAGUCAAGUUUCAAUGAAUGGGUCAUUUCCCCGCAUUAUGAACUCGCUGGGUAAUAAGAGUUAACAAGAGGGAGUGUUUCUACUGCCUAGCAUCCGAUUUUCAGCUCUUAAACAUUCCCCUAUAUGUGCAAGGAUCCUGUCACCCUGGGAGAGCUCUUAUUAAUCUCAGUGUCGAAGCUGUUUCAACAAAUCUACUGUAAUAAUGAAAAGUCAUCUUAUCACACUUUGCUCUCAGUAAAUUUACCAUCCUUUGAUAAGGUUGCAAACAACUGGGAAGUAAUUGAUCUGUAAUUAGCGCGGCCACUGCUGAAGGGAGCCUGUGCUGAGCCUUCUUCAUUUAUCUGCCCAGCACAGCACAUCCUGCCUCGGAACACUAAAUUAUUUAGUAUUCUUUUCAAAUACAAAUGGUCUCAAUGGGUCCUCCAUUAUUUUAAGAACUUUCUGAAGAAGAGGCUAACAUUUAAAUUUCUGAUUAUCUGUCACCAGUGCAGUAGUUAAAGGAGCUGGGAGUGGAAGGGAAUCAUUUUUCACACAUGACUUGUCUGCUGAAGCCAGCCUGAGCUAUGAAUGGAGAAGGACAGGGGCCCUUUGAUCUGCACCAAACUUGCACAAUUUAUCUUUUAAAUGCACUAAAGCUUUUGAUAAAUGUCAAUUUGACAAUUAAAUUCUUCAAGGGCCACAAUAUAUCACCAUCACAGUGCCUAUUUUUGAGGGUCGGUCAGCCAUAACAUCUUUCAGCAGUCUACAGCAAGCUCGAAUCAUGGGAGAAAUGAUAGCUCUCAGGCCUGCCUGUUCUCUACAUGGUAUUUUUAUCUCUCGUUAAAUAAAAGAGCUGUGAUCUUUUCCUUCAACACGGGGCUCAACUCCGGUGCCAGAGUUCAUGGUUGGCCUUGCAACCCAAAGUGACUGUGUUCUCUGCCAUCUUCCUAAUAGUUUAGGGGAGAAAGGAGCCUGUGAGGAGCUUUUUGAAUCUUUGAAGCAGUGGGUUUUCCUUUCCUCGCUACAAAGGUAUUUUCUUGUGUGUGUGUUAUAAGAAACAAGCCAAGGCAAGUCUGUUCUUCUCAGGGGCCUCAAGUCAGCAAGAGGGGCAGAGGUAGAACCAUAGGGUUGUAACUUUGGUCUUAGGAAAGCCCCCCAUUAUGUUUUGAUUACAAAGGUCAUUGAUUAAGUCAAAGACCACAGACGGUAGGCUCUUGUCAUACAUAGCUGGGGAGUUAGAUGGCUCACCCAAGGAUUUAUGGGGCAGCCUCGCCUUUGAGGCCAUUCCACUCUUUCUUUUCUUCCUAUUUUUUUUUUUUUUAGUAUAUAUGAACUUCAAAGUUAUUUCAUGCCUAUGCUCAAAUCUUUCUGUAUCUUUGAGGACAAGAAUAGCCAUCAGAUAUGAGGAAGGACAGCCUGGCAUCUCGGAGUUUACAUUCAAAAGCUCUUCUCUUCUCUGCUCUUUUGGCCCCAUUAAAACUCAACAUUAGCUGGAAGAAUAACAAUUGUAAUGUGACAUUUUGAAAUGCUUCACAUGAAAGAUGAUUUCGAACGCCAUGGUUACUGAGGGGUUUGCUAAGGGCUGACAAAGGGACAGAGCAGCUGUGCCUGUGAUCCCCUCUCAAGAAGAGAUAGUGUCUCCAGAGCCCAGCGCGGCCCUAUCACCCAGAUAUUUGGCAUGGGUACGAUGCUACCUUUUGACAAAAGUGACAUUUCGGUGUGAUUGUGAAGGAAAUUAAAGCUUCCAGAUCAGAUAGCUGACCCGCUGAAAACACAGCCACCCGGCGCUCAGAAGGCUGCAGCAUUGCUUCUCUUCUCGAGGACGGGGGAAUCAGUACGUAAUCCUUAGAAUCGCUAAGAACAAGUGGGAAAGAGCCACCUGAGUGUCUCCGGGGGGCCUCACUCUUUAAAACGUUGAUUAAUUUUUUGGAUGGGCUAUCAUGCGGCAUUGUCAAUCAAACAGUGAUAGAAUUAUAGUGUGACAUCAGCCCUCGGUACAGCUCAAGCCAAGAGGGCUCAGAGGCUUUUCUUUCUAUAAAGGAGACGGGGGUCACCCCUCUGACCUUUAGAAUAUCAGCGGUCUCCGACUUUCUGUGAGGAACUGAGAAUAGGAAUUUUGUAGCUAGGAUGAACAGAGGAUUUUGUCGUUUCCAGAAGGUAACCCGGCAAGUCAGGAUUUAAGGAGAGGAGCUGGUUUUUGGCCAAUGAGGUUCCAGGGUAGGGUUCUAAAUAACCUGGCAGCUCUAGAUGGAAUUUCAUUGGCCAUCAGCCAUCAUGAAGCCUUCGAUUGGCCACCUUCUGAUGUGUAGGUCUUUGCGGUGCGAUGCUUGCUAACUUGGGCAUGUGCUGUACUAGAAGGAAGCUCUUCUGUGUUUUCUCAUGUUGUCUUCAACUGUACUUCAUUGGCCGUAUUUUAGAAGUCCACUGACGGACGGAUAACGGUCUGUUUUAAACACUAGCGUUUAGAUUAGCACGUGUCACAAUAUAUACUUCAACGAGUUUUUUUUUUUUUGUUUUUUUGGUUUUUUUUUUUUUUUUUUUUUUGUGAGCUUGGCAAAGUCCUUUGGAAAGAUGUUGCUAGCGUAAUAAGCUUCUGGUCUCACUCCCCACGUAAAUUGUCUUUUGAAAUAUCACUAAAUGAAUCAUGAAGAUUAAACAUAUGGAAAUCAGGUUGAGAAAUUAAUCUAAGGCAGAGGAUCCCAUCCUUCACCCCCCAGAAUAGCACUUGGUAAGUAGUUCUCACGUUCUCAGUAUAGCAUUUGGUUCAAGCUGUCCCUCUCAUUGCCAUUUCGUGCAUCAUAUGCCAUAGGCCAACCAUUCUCUGACACUGUGGGGUCCAACCUGGGAGAACAAGGCUAAUAAUGUAUUUCAAAAUACUUUAAAAUUAUAUAUUAUAUAUUAAAAGUAUAGAAAUCGCAUAUUAAAACUAAAAUGUAAUUUUUUCUAUCAUGUUAAACGCACAUAGAUGUGAUCAAAAUGGGGUGAAAGAUGUCGGUUGCUAUUUUCUCUUUUUGUCAAAAAGUCAUGCAAUCCAUUCUGAUUAUGGCUCCCCUUUAUGUCCAACAUUCUCUCCACUUUCUCACCUACCACACACUCUUUCUCUUUUCAGAAUAAGGUCAAAUAAAAAAACAAAAACAAGCGAACCAGAAUAAUUCAUAAAUAGAUACCACAGGGAAAAGGCAGAAGAAACAGACACACAUGCAGAGAAAACCCAUAAAAACACAAGGUCACAAACAAUAGCAUAUAAGCAAAAGAUCAAUGAGUCAAAACAAAAGUCCAAAGCAAUAUGAGUUAAAAAAAAAAAAAA
This 7261-nucleotide small RNA is filed under the name Rattus norvegicus (Norway rat). Its description in RNAcentral is "uncharacterized LOC102546629". The record is from RNAcentral. Lineage: Eukaryota; Metazoa; Chordata; Mammalia; Rodentia; Muridae.